This 404-nucleotide ribosomal RNA is filed under the name uncultured bacterium. RNAcentral describes it as "bacterial SSU rRNA". It matches the Rfam family "Bacterial small subunit ribosomal RNA", at positions 975 to 1375 of the family's 1533-position model. The record is from RNAcentral.
CAGCUCUUGACAUGUCCAGUAUGGGGCCGAGAGAUCGGCUUCUUCAGUUCGGCUGGCUGGAACACAGGUGCUGCAUGGCUGUCGUCAGCUCGUGUCGUGAGAUGUUGGGUUAAGUCCCGCAACGAGCGCAACCCUCAUCUUCAGUUGCCAUCAGGUUAAGCUGGGCACUCUGAAGGAACUGCCGGUGACAAGCCGGAGGAAGGCGGGGAUGACGUCAAGUCCUCAUGGCCUUUAUGGGCUGGGCUACACACGUGCUACAAUGGCGAUGACAGAGGGACGCGAAGGGGCAACCCUUGGCCAAUCUCAAAAAGCCGUCUCAGUUCGGAUUGUCCUCUGCAACUCGAGGGCAUGAAGCUGGAAUCGCUAGUAAUCGCGGAUCAGCACGCCGCGGUGAAUACGUUCCC